Molecule: ribosomal RNA, 253 nt
Filed under: uncultured bacterium
Lineage: Bacteria
Description: partial 16S ribosomal RNA
Rfam family: Bacterial small subunit ribosomal RNA
Source: RNAcentral
UACGGAGGGAGCUAGCGUUGUUCGGAAUUACUGGGCGUAAAGCGCACGUAGGCGGCUUUGUAAGUUAGAGGUGAAAGCCCGGGGCUCAACCCCGGAAUUGCCUUUAAGACUGCAUCGCUUGAAUCCAGGAGAGGUGAGUGGAAUUCCGAGUGUAGAGGUGAAAUUCGUAGAUAUUCGGAAGAACACCAGUGGCGAAGGCGGCUCACUGGACUGGUAUUGACGCUGAGGUGCGAAAGCGUAGGGAGCAAACAGG